GACGAACGCGUGCGGCGUGCCUAUUACAUGCAAGUCGUACGCUUCUUUUUCCACCGGAGCUUGCUCCACCGGAAAAAGAAGAGUGGCGAACGGGUGAGUAACACGUGGGUAACCUGCCCAUCAGAAGGGGAUAACACUUGGAAACAGGUGCUAAUACCGUAUAACAAUCAAAACCGCAUGGUUUUGAUUUGAAAGGCGCUUUCGGGUGUCGCUGAUGGAUGGACCCGCGGUGCAUUAGCUAGUUGGUGAGGUAACGGCUCACCAAGGCCACGAUGCAUAGCCGACCUGAGAGGGUGAUCGGCCACAUUGGGACUGAGACACGGCCCAAACUCCUACGGGAGGCAGCAGUAGGGAAUCUUCGGCAAUGGACGAAAGUCUGACCGAGCAACGCCGCGUGAGUGAAGAAGGUUUUCGGAUCGUAAAACUCUGUUGUUAGAGAAGAACAAGGAUGAGAGUAACUGUUCAUCCCUUGACGGUAUCUAACCAGAAAGCCACGGCUAACUACGUGCCAGCAGCCGCGGUAAUACGUAGGUGGCAAGCGUUGUCCGGAUUUAUUGGGCGUAAAGCGAGCGCAGGCGGUUUCUUAAGUCUGAUGUGAAAGCCCCCGGCUCAACCGGGGAGGGUCAUUGGAAACUGGGAGACUUGAGUGCAGAAGAGGAGAGUGGAAUUCCAUGUGUAGCGGUGAAAUGCGUAGAUAUAUGGAGGAACACCAGUGGCGAAGGCGGCUCUCUGGUCUGUAACUGACGCUGAGGCUCGAAAGCGUGGGGAGCAGGCAGGAU
This 779-nucleotide ribosomal RNA is filed under the name Enterococcus faecium. RNAcentral describes it as "bacterial SSU rRNA". It matches the Rfam family "Bacterial small subunit ribosomal RNA", at positions 28 to 778 of the family's 1533-position model. Lineage: Bacteria; Bacillati; Bacillota; Bacilli; Lactobacillales; Enterococcaceae. The record is from RNAcentral.